RNAcentral lists this ribosomal RNA (471 nucleotides) under uncultured bacterium. RNAcentral's name for it is "bacterial SSU rRNA". It matches the Rfam family "Bacterial small subunit ribosomal RNA", at positions 29 to 491 of the family's 1533-position model. The record is from RNAcentral.
AGUGAACGCUGGCGGCAGGCCUAAUACAUGCAAGUCGAAUGGCAGCACAGCAGAGCUUGCUCUGUGGGUGGCGAGUGGCGGACGGGUGAGGAAUACGUGGGAAUCUGCCCAGUCGUGGGGGAUAAUGUAGGGAAACUUACGCUAAUACCGCAUGCGCCCUUCGGGGGAAAGCCGGGGACCUUCGGGCCUGGCACGAUUGGAUGAGCCCACGUCGGAUUAGCUAGUUGGCGGGUAAAGGCCCACCAAGGCGACGAUCCGUAGCUGGUCUGAGAGGAUGAUCAGCCACACUGGAACUGAGACACGGUCCAGACUCCUACGGGAGGCAGCAGUAGGGAAUAUUGGACAAUGGGCGCAAGCCUGAUCCAGCCAUGCCGCGUGAGUGAAGAAGGCCCUCGGGUUGUAAAGCUCUUUUGCCGGAAAGAAAGCGCCGGGUUAAUACCCUGGUGUCCUGACGGUACCGGAAGAAUAAGC